RNAcentral lists this ribosomal RNA (253 nucleotides) under uncultured bacterium. Its description in RNAcentral is "partial 16S ribosomal RNA". It matches the Rfam family "Bacterial small subunit ribosomal RNA", at positions 524 to 776 of the family's 1533-position model. The record is from RNAcentral.
UACGUAGGAUGCAAGCGUUGUCCGGAUUUAUUGGUUUUAAAGGGUGCGUAGGCGGCAUAUUAAGUUAGUGGUGAAAACGUUCGUCUUAACGGGAUACCCGCCAUUGAUACUGAUAGACUUGAGUGCGACAGAGGGUGUUGGAAUGUGUGGUGUAGCGGUGAAAUGCUUAGAUAUCACGCAGAACACCAAUUGCGAAGGCAGAUGCCUAUGUCGUAACUGACGCUGAGGAGCGAAAGCGUGGGGAGCAAACAGG